Molecule: transfer RNA, 82 nt
Filed under: Hydrocarboniphaga daqingensis
Lineage: Bacteria; Pseudomonadati; Pseudomonadota; Gammaproteobacteria; Nevskiales; Nevskiaceae
Also listed under: 1 other name
Rfam family: tRNA
About the family: Transfer RNA (tRNA) molecules are approximately 80 nucleotides in length. Their secondary structure includes four short double-helical elements and three loops (D, anti-codon, and T loops).
Source: Rfam by way of RNAcentral
GCCGAGAUGGCGGAAUUGGUAGACGCACUAGUUUCAGGUACUAGCGGGUAAAACCGUGGAGGUUCGAGUCCUCUUCUCGGCA